RNAcentral lists this ribosomal RNA (584 nucleotides) under uncultured bacterium. RNAcentral describes it as "partial 16S ribosomal RNA". It matches the Rfam family "Bacterial small subunit ribosomal RNA", at positions 1 to 570 of the family's 1533-position model. The record is from RNAcentral.
GUGCUGGAAUUCGCCCUUAGAGUUUGAUCCUGGCUCAGGAUGAACGCUAGCGGCAGGCCUAACACAUGCAAGUCGAGGGGCAGCGGGAGUGCUUGCACUCGCCGGCGACCGGCGCACGGGUGCGGAACGCGUAUCGAAUCUGCCUCUAUCUGGGGGAUACCCCAUGGAAACGUGGAAUAAUACCCCAUAGUAUUACUUUAUCGCAUGAUUUAGUAAUUAAAGAAUUUCGGAUAGAGAUGACGAUGCGUAUCAUUAGCUAGUGGGUAAGGUAACGGCUUACCUAGGCAACGAUGAUUAGGGGUCCUGAGAGGGAGAUCCCCCACACUGGUACUGAGACACGGACCAGACUCCUACGGGAGGCAGCAGUGAGGAAUAUUGGACAAUGGUCGAAAGACUGAUCCAGCCAUGCCGCGUGCAGGAUGAAUGCCCUAUGGGUUGUAAACUGCUUUUAUACGGGAAGAAAAACACCUACGUGUAGGUGACUGACGGUACCGUAAGAAUAAGGACCGGCUAACUCCGUGCCAGCAGCCGCGGUAAUACGGACGGUCCAAGCGUUAUCCGGAAUCAUUGGGUUUAAAGGGUCC